CAAUAGCGUAUAUUAAAGUUGUUGCGGUUAAAAAGCUCGUAGUUGGAUUUCUGCCGAGGACGACCGGUCCGCCCUCUGGGUGAGUAUCUGGCUCGGCCUGGGCAUCUUCUUGGAGAACGUAGCUGCACUUGACUGUGUGGUGCGGUAUCCAGGACUUUUACUUUGAGGAAAUUAGAGUGUUUCAAGCAGGCUUACGCCUUGAAUACAUUAGCAUGGAAUAAUAAGAUAGGACCUCGGUUCUAUUUUGUUGGUUUCUAGAGCUGAGGUAAUGAUUAAUAGGGAUAGUUGGGGGCAUUCGUAUUUAACUGUCAGAGGUGAAAUUCUUGGAUUUGUUAAAGGCGGACUACUGCGAAAGCAUUUGCCAAGGAUGUUUUCAUUGA
Molecule: ribosomal RNA, 380 nt
Filed under: uncultured eukaryote
Lineage: Eukaryota
Description: partial 18S ribosomal RNA
Rfam family: Eukaryotic small subunit ribosomal RNA
Source: RNAcentral